CAGAUAUUUGCUGACUAAAUUGAAGGAGUGAAUUAUACUUUGAGAAUCCAGGAAGCCUUGACAAACGAUAUUUUAUUACGACUUAUCUCAAAAGAUGAAUUGGAAUUGAGAGAUACAGAUGGAAUCAAUAGCAUGGACAACGAAUCCUGAACUAAUUAUUUUCUCUUAAUACCCUCUUUUAUACAUUUUCCUGUUAUUCAUCUCCCAUACCUGGAGGCCUAGGGUUUGAAGGAAUUACAGUCAUUACCACCUUGCUUUUAAGGCCCAAAUGAUUUUGGAGCCCUGAUGCCCAAUCAUGCCCUUCCAUCACUCCAUGAACACACGGCUCCGUGACCUAUGAAAACACAUCAGGACAAACUCCACAGAGGCAGGCCAUCUUCUGAUACCAUCUGGCAAGUGCUCUGCUCUCACGUCUUGCCUUCAGGAAUUUUAGAUGGGCAGGAGGGACGAGCAAGGCAAACACAAUUGAUGGUUGUCAGCAUUCCAAUAUGAAGAAGGCCAUAACAGUCCUGGAAGAACAUCUGGAACGUCCUCAGGUACAUGCCCAGCAGCCACCAUUCUGGGGUCCAAGAGGCAACUGAAGGUCCAAAUAGAAGCCCCUUGAGAGAGAAAGGGCAGAAUCCAGGACCAUACAGUUUCUUUGGGGGUCAUACAGUCCUAAACCUCACUGUAACAAGUGAAACCAAACGGCGGCGGUGAGAAAUUUGACCUAGUUCUCCAGCGACCUUCAGUCCCAGGUUUCUGAGGGAAACGGCCUGUUUUGGACAUUUCCUCAUCGUUCCCCAGGCUCAUACCAACCUAUACGCCAAUAAAUGCGAGUUGUUUUGCUUUGUUUGGUCUUUCACAAAAAUGGGAUCAUACAACACAUGUUACUCUGUACUUUGCUUUUUACACGUAAUGAUAUAUCAUAUUCACCCCACUUAAA
This 925-nucleotide long non-coding RNA is filed under the name Equus asinus (donkey). RNAcentral's name for it is "lncRNA (ENSEASG00005024246.1)". Lineage: Eukaryota; Metazoa; Chordata; Mammalia; Perissodactyla; Equidae. The record is from RNAcentral.